This 503-nucleotide ribosomal RNA is filed under the name uncultured bacterium. RNAcentral describes it as "partial 16S ribosomal RNA". It matches the Rfam family "Bacterial small subunit ribosomal RNA", at positions 30 to 523 of the family's 1533-position model. The record is from RNAcentral.
AUUGAACGCUGGCGGCAGGCUUAACACAUGCAAGUCGAGCGGGGUGAUGGUGCUUGCACUAUCACUUAGCGGCGGACGGGUGAGUAAUGCUUAGGAAUCUGCCUAUUAGUGGGGGACAACAUCUCGAAAGGGAUGCUAAUACCGCAUACGUCCUACGGGAGAAAGCAGGGGAUCACUUGUGACCUUGCGCUAAUAGAUGAGCCUAAGUCGGAUUAGCUAGUUGGUGGGGUAAAGGCCUACCAAGGCGACGAUCUGUAGCGGGUCUGAGAGGAUGAUCCGCCACACUGGGACUGAGACACGGCCCAGACUCCUACGGGAGGCAGCAGUGGGGAAUAUUGGGCAAUGGGGGGAACCCUGAUCCAGCCAUGCCGCGUGUGUGAAGAAGGCCUUAUGGUUGUAAAGCACUUUAAGCGAGGAGGAGGCUCUUUUGGUUAAUACCCAAGAUGAGUGGACGUUACUCGCAGAGUAAGCACCGGCUAACUCUGUGCCAGCAGCCGCGGUAA